This 472-nucleotide ribosomal RNA is filed under the name uncultured bacterium. Its description in RNAcentral is "bacterial SSU rRNA". It matches the Rfam family "Bacterial small subunit ribosomal RNA", at positions 892 to 1365 of the family's 1533-position model. The record is from RNAcentral.
CGAUGAAACUCAAAGGAAUUGACGGGGGCCCGCACAAGCGGAGGAACAUGUGGUUUAAUUCGAUGAUACGCGAGGACCCUUACCCGGGUUUAAAUGGGAAAAGACAGAUGUGGAAACAUGUUAUCUCUUCGGAGCUUUUUUCAAGGUGCUGCAUGGUUGUCGUCAGCUCGUGCCGUGAGGUGUCGGGUUAAGUCCCAUAACGAGCGUAACCCUUACCGUUAGUUGCCAUCAGUUCAGCUGGGCACUCUAGCGGGACUGCCACCGUAAGGUGAGAGGAAGGCGGGGAUGACGUCAAAUCAGCACGGCCCUUACACCCGGGGCUACACACGUGUUACAAUGGCCGGCACAGAGGGUCGCUACCCAGUGAUGGGAUGCCAAUCUCAAAAUCCGGUCUUAGUUCGGAUUGGAGUCUGUAACCCGACUCCAUGAAGUUGGAUUCGCUAGUAAUCGCGCAUCAGCCAUGGCGCGGUGA